UACGGAGGGCGCAAGCGUUAUCCGGAUUUACUGGGUUUAAAGGGUGCGUAGGCGGGCCAUUAAGUCAGUGGUGAAAGCUCCGAGCUUAACUCGGAAACUGCCAUUGAUACUAUUGGUCUUGAAUUCGGUCGAGGUUGGCGGAAUGUGUCGUGUAGCGGUGAAAUGCUUAGAUAUGACACAGAACACCGAUUGCGAAGGCAGCUAGCUAGACCGACAUUGACGCUGAGGCACGAAAGCGUGGGGAUCAAACAGG
This 253-nucleotide ribosomal RNA is filed under the name uncultured bacterium. RNAcentral describes it as "partial 16S ribosomal RNA". It matches the Rfam family "Bacterial small subunit ribosomal RNA", at positions 524 to 776 of the family's 1533-position model. The record is from RNAcentral.